This 380-nucleotide long non-coding RNA is filed under the name Mytilus galloprovincialis (Mediterranean mussel). The record is from RNAcentral. Lineage: Eukaryota; Metazoa; Mollusca; Bivalvia; Mytilida; Mytilidae.
CUAAACUAGAGGCUCUAAAGAGCCUGUGUCGCUCACCUUGGUCUAUGUGACUAUUAAACAAAGGAAGCAGAUGGAUUCAUGACAAAAUUGUAUUUUGGUGAUGGUGAUGUGUUUGUACAUCUUACUUUACUGAACAUCCUUGCUGCUUACAAUUAUCUCUAUCUAUAAUGAACUUGGCCCAGUAGUUUCAGUGGAAAAUGUAAGUAAAAAUUUACAAAUUUUAUAAAAAUUGUUGAAAAUUGACUAUAAAGGACAAUAACUCCUUAGAGGAUCAAUUGACCAUUUCUGUCAUGUUGACUUAUUUGUAAAUCUUACUUUGCUGAACAUUAUUGCUGUUUACAGUUUAUCUCUAUCUAUAAUAAUAUUCAAGACAAUAACCA